RNAcentral lists this long non-coding RNA (6958 nucleotides) under Citrus sinensis (sweet orange). RNAcentral's name for it is "long non-coding RNA (CSIN_LNC004273)". The record is from RNAcentral. Lineage: Eukaryota; Viridiplantae; Streptophyta; Magnoliopsida; Sapindales; Rutaceae.
GAAUACCAAAAAGAUAUAUAAAGCUAGGAGACAAAAUAAAAUAAUGGAUGAGGAGGUGUCAUCACAUGUUGAACAAAAGAGGUGGCAAUGGCAUAUCCCAUGGAAGAUGCUAUAUUUUGCAACCUCUAUUUCACUUUUCCAUUAUUUUUUUUCCUCCUAUAACCAAAAAGUGAACACACACCUACUUAAAUCACUUCACCUUCAAACAACCCAUACAAGUUUCAUUAGCAAACCCUCUUAAAAACUGCACCAUACAGCAUAGGGGCACCCCUGCCAGUGGCUCCAAACCAAAGCUGCAGGGGUGCCCAGCAUCGUCUCAAAUUUUGGUUAGAGUUGGUGUAGUAGCUAUUUUAACUGAAUCGCCUUAGUAAUCAUAAGGCCGGUUUUCUCCAGAAGGGCAACUUCGAUCCUUUGGCAUUUUCAGUGCUUAUUCCUCCGGAUCUCUCUUUGCUGCAGCCUGCUUCUGCAUGUGAUUUGAGGGCCAGGAAUUUAUCUCAAGGGUGAAUCGUAAUAUGUUUAAUUUUCUAUUUGUUCCUUUUUACUUUUGAAUUUGAGUAUUAUGUGUUUAGUAUUCUGUCAGUUGUUUUACCAAAUAUGUAGGCCUUUGGGUUUUAGACACUAGUGUUCGAAAUUGCCAUCCAGUUUGUGUGUUAUCUUUGAGCAUGCGUUUUACUUCAUUUGCUUGAAUAAAGAAGGUCAGUCUUCAUUGUCAUGGAUCAACAAUCUCAGCUACCCUAGCAUCAUCUCCCAAGGAGACUGGCAAAAUAGGUCUAAACAACAUAGGCCUAAGAAUCCAGUUAUCCUGGUAACAUCCUGCCCAAACCCCACACUUCAUAAAAUCUAUACUGUAACAGCUCAGGCCUCCAAAGUAUACUCCGCUAAACAAAAGAUUGAUUAUUGCCCAUGCCCGUAUCAAGAAAGGAACAACGACAAAAUUACCUAGCCCGUAACACUUGCAACAAGUGACUAAGUAUAAGUAAGUAAAUGCCACCCCUGUUUAGCCAACAACGCCUGAUUACAAACCCCAGAUCCCAAAAAUCGAAUCUUCCAUCCGUUUUAGACCAACUCAAAUUAUGUCGUGGCUUUAGACCCCCACCAAAAAGCAGUGAAACGACACUUAAUAUCUCUAUAAAAGCUCGAUGGAAAACAAAAGACACUCAUAGCGUAGGAAGGAAUUGCUUAAGCAACAGCCUUUAGCAACACCUCUUUCCUACACAUGAGAAUAUCUUCUCAUGCCACUCAUUGAGUUUAUGUAGAACCCGAAACUUUAGCUCAUGGAAAAAAAAAAGAAAAAACUUGCGUUGCCUAACUCCUAAUGGCCGUAAACCCAAACGCUUAUCAUAAGUUAAUACCAUAAAAAACCAAACACCUGAAUGAUUACCCAAUGCACCCCAGGCUUCACUUUUGGACUAGAUAACAAAGAGGACUUAUCAUAAUUAAAUCAUUGCCCAGAAGCUAUUGUGUAAGAGUCAAAAAUAUAUUUCAAAUAAGUCAAAUAGCCCAAUAUCGCCCGACAAAAGAAGAGGCUGUCAUCUGCAAGUAACAAAUGAGGAACCAUUAGAUCAGAUGCAAAUCGAACCCUACAAAUGUGUUGAGAAACCUCAACUACAGAUAACAUAGCAAAAAAACCUCAAAACAAAGAAUGAAUAAAUAAAGAGAAAGCGGACAGCCUUGUCUAAUACCGCGUUUAGGAUAAACCCAACCGUGAACAGUAUCGUUAGUUAAAAAAGAGAGAGAGUUGGAGUUGUAACACAAGCCAAAACAAGUUUCACCCAUCUGGCAGAAAAAUCCAAUUUCAAAGCCAGUAGUCUAGACUUUGACCCUUUGCAAAAAUUCAGCCUAUGUAAACAUUCAUGCCUGACAAUAACAUUGUCAAUAAUUAGACAAUCUGAAAUGAAAGCAGUUUGGUUAAUAGAAAUAAUAGCAUCAAAGAUUCAACUUCAAUCUAUUUGCCAGCACCUUCGCAAUAACCCGAUAAACAACAUUACACAAACUAAUAAGGCGAAUUUCAGAUAUUUUCUUCGGAUUUUUCACCCUUAGAAAACAAAGUUACCAUGGUAUGAUUUAAAUUAGAAAUGCUAAUUCCCUUAUUUAAAACUGCUAAACAAGUAUUUACAAGUUAUGUACCAACAACAUACCAAUGAUCCUGAAAGAAAGUAGGAGAGAGAUCAUCCGGCACACGAGCGUUAGUGGGAUACAUCUAUAUAAGGGCGCAUUUCACCUCAUCAAUUGUAAAUUCAGCCACUAGGUCCAUAUUCAUCUCGGCAGUCACUUUAUGUUGCAAAUAAGACAGAACAUCCUCGAAUUGCACAGAACUUAGACAAAAAGAAGAAAAUAAUUCUAAGAAGUAAUCACCAACAUUUUUUAUAAUACUGUUGGUAGAAACUAUCCAAUUUCUCAACAUCCAACAAACCCAUGAACCUAUUCUUUCCCUAAUAAACAAAAGCAUAAGAAAGGAAAAAACAUGUGUUUUUAUCACCCUCCACUAGCCAUGAAACAUAGGCAUAUUAUUCCUAAUAUUAAUCUUUCUCAUGCAGAAGCCCAUCAAUUUCAGCCUCUAAGCAAUUGUUAGAGUGCAAUUUAUGCACUAGUUUAGCGUUGUUUACUUCAUUUAAUAUCGAUGUUUUGUACUUAAUAAUAGUGAUUUACUUGUAUUUUAUUUUUGUAUAUGCAAUUUUAUUAAUUGGUGCUAAAAUUGAGCUACAAAAUUAUGUUUGAGAAUGAUUGUUUUCUUAGAAAAAUUAUGAGUGUCAGAAGAACUUUAUUGAUAAGGCGUGGGCGCCUGCUGUCAAUUACGGACCUGCAGUUUUUAGUUUAACAUGUUUUGUAUUUUUUGUUAUUUUUGUAAUUACGAAUUUAAUAUUUUAGAUAUUAGUAUUUAAUUUUAAAAAGAACUCUAGAGGAGAAGAGAGAGAAGAGUAUUUAAGGGAGAAAUCUAUUGUGAAAAGGUGGGAUUUUUGAAGAAGAAAGAAACCCUAUAUCUAAAUUUUUCUCUUCUCUCUAUGAAUAACUAAACCUAUUAUUCUGGUUGAAGGUUAAUGAAGCUUUGAUUCAUCAGUACUGUGAGAUCUUUCUUAUACUUUAAUUGUUUUAUUGCUUUUUGGGUAUUUGUUUAUUCUCUGAAUUAUUGUCAUGAUUAUGUUUGUUAAUUAGAUAAUUGGCCACUAUUAAAUUAUCAACUUAAUCUAUUGUCAAUUAAAAAAUUCAUCGUAUGAAGAUUUUAAUGUUUGUGACAAAUAGCAUAGCAGUGCGUUGUGUUAUGAGAAUAAACAAUCUAAUUUAAAUGAACCAUCAUAUGCGUUUGUUGAUUAGGAUUUGGGUCUCUCUGAUUUUUCAGGCUGUCAAUUGAUUAAAUCCUAUGAUCGUAUUUAGGGUUUUCUAUUGAUUAGGAAAAUAACCAACGGUCGUACCUUGGUUAUCGACUAGUUAAGGAGAGAUUGGCGAUUAGAGGGUCUCAGUAGCUACAAUCGGUCUAUUCAUAAGUAGUAAUGAUUUAUAUUUGAAUCAAUGAUCAGUAGUCGAAUCAAGCUAAGUUAAUUCCUUCAACGAGAGCUUUCCCCAAUUUGAAUUACAAUUUUAAUUUGCAUUCUUGUUAUUUUAAUUUGAUUUUUAUUAUUGUCAACAACCCCAUUUUGUAUUUUACAUUUUAAAAGGAUUUAAAUAAUUACCGAUCUCUGUGGACAUGACCCUGCUCAAUCACUAUACACAAUUUAUUUAGAGUAUGUGUUUAUUUUUGCUGGCUUCGACAACCAACAAAUUUUGGCGCCGUUGCCGGGGAUUGGUGUCGUUUAUUUAAUUAUUUUUACGUUUUACUUGGUGUAUAGUUCAUUCUUCUCGUACAUGUACACUUUCGUUUGAUCCUGAAAUUGAGAAGACAACUCGCUAGCUGAGACAGCAGACGAAGCGAGCUAAGCAACGAUCCUCGUCGCCUUUGCUUUCUGAAACAGAUACGGUGCCUGAUUUGGUUGAAUCAUCUAGCGAUUCAGAAGAACAAGUGAUGGAUAGAGCUGCACCUGUAGAAAGAACUCUUAGAGAGUUAGCUGAACCAGACUUGAAUCAGCAACCACUCUGCAUUCAAUAUGUAGACUUGGAGGUAAAUUUUGAAUUAAAGUCUGGUCUUAUUCAUUUGUUACCCAAGUUUCAUAGUUUUACAGGUGAAGAUCCUCAUAAAUAUCUCAAGGAGUUUCAUGUUGUAUGUUCAAGUAUGAGGCCACAAGGCAUGACUGAAGAGCAGAUUAAGCUGCGUGCUUUUUCGUUCUCUGUAGAUGGGCUAGCUAAAGACUGGUUGUACUACCCUUUCUCUUUAGAUGGACUAGCUAAAGACUGGGUGUACUACUUGCCUACUGGAUCGAUUACAACGUGGAAUAGUUUGAAGAAGCAGUUCCUUGAGAAGUACUUUCCUGCUUCAAGAGCUGCCAACAUCAGAAAAGACAUUUGUGGGAUCAGACAACUUCAUGGGGAGACUUUGUAUAAGUAUUGGGAGCGAUUCAAACAAUUAUAUGCCAGUUGUCCUCAGCAUCAGAUUUAUGAUCAACUUCUUAUUCAAUAUUUUUAUGAGGGAUUGUCAUUGAUGGAUAUGAGUAUGAUAGAUACUACUAGUGGAGGUGUGUUGGUGAACAAGACCCCUACUCAAGCAAGGGAGUUGAUCUCAAAUAUGGCUGUCAAUGCACAACAAUUUGGCAGCAGGCAAGAUCCCACUUCAAGGAAGGUGAAUGAGGUAAAUAUUUCUUCUGUUGAACAACGUUUAGAUAAACUUACUUCUCUUGUGGAAAAGUUUGUUGUAAGUAAUAUGCAACAGGUAAAGACUUGUGGCAUUUGUUCCAAUAUGGGUCAUUCAACUGAUAUGUGUCCUACACUUCAAGAAAAACGCGUUGAACAAGCCAAUGCAGUUGGAGGAUUUCCAGGCAUGCCUCAAAGGAGGUAUAAUUCUUAUGAGCAAACAUACAAUUUGGGAUGGAAGGAUCAUCCCAACUUCAACUAUGGAGUUAGGCCAUCAGGAUUACACAACAAUACCAACCAAGACAACCAGAGCCGUCUAGAGUCUCAAGUAUCAGGGAGAUUGUUGGUUGACCAACAAAUUUUGAGACAGAAGCCCAUCAAUUUCAGCCUCUAAGCAAUACACACGGUUACCAUCUGUAUAAUGCUCUCCCCCAAUCUGCAAAUCCCGCAACUCAAAUAUUUUGCAUCCUCCUACUUAUGCCAACCCUUAAACUCACGACUAUUCCACUGAGAGAGAGUUGCAACUGUUGAACGAACCCUCUGCUGAAAAAUAUCAACCUGAUCCACCUCUUCGAAACCAUGGUCUCGUCAAAAAUGAAAAAAUAAUCUCGCAGCAUUGGUCAUACUCCUUCUAAAAAGCUUUAUAUUGAAAAUGGCACUUACACGAAAAAAAAAAAAAAAAAUCAUUAGCAUAACCUACCGAAUUUUUAAAGGAUAUCAAAACAGAACUAUGAUUAGAAUCCCAACCAAUGAAAUGAGUGACUACAUUGAAAAAACCCAAGGCUUAUCAACGAAAAUUGCAUAGAAGACGGUCCAAACAUUCCUUCACCAAAUGCCUACCUAUCUAUUGAUUGUUCCAAGUAUACGGAAAUCCAAAAAAAACCAAUAUCCAGCAGUUCAUAAUCCCAAAAAACAAACUGGAAAUUGGUCAUCAUUUCCAAAUUCCUAGGCAACCCAUCAAGUUUUUCUAAUGGUUUCAAAGUCUCAUUAAAAUCACCCCUAAUCAUCCACAACAAAGAAAACGAAUAAUGCAAUCUAUAUAAUAGGUCCCACAUAUGAAUUUUCAUGAGAGCUUCUGUGUGCCCAUAAAUUCCAAUAAAACGUCACAAGAAAUCAUCAUUCAUCCGAAUAGCGGCAUCAAUAUGGUGCAAAUUGUAUAUAUGCACAAAAACAUUAAUCUCUCACUACCAGAGCAAAGAUAAACACCCUGACGUCUGUGAUGAUCAACAGGCAAAUAAUUAUCAAACCCUAAACAUGAACACCUGUGUUUGCAUCUCAGAUAUAGCCAAUUUUGUUUCACACAAGAAUAUAAUUUGUGGCAUACCUCAUACAAAAUUUUUUUAAAGUACACAAAAUGUCUCAACCAGACCUUGAAUAUUCCAGUAUAAGACAUUCAUUGCAACCGACGGGGCUGAGACUCAACACCUACUGAUAAUUGUGAAGAAACAUUAGCAAAAGCCAAUGAAUCACCAUUAAUUACCCCAUGGGCAUAAUCCUCAUAUGCCAAUCGUACCCAUUUUCCAUAGCCAUUCCCAUCCUCAACCUCCUCGUCAAUGAGCCUUUUUGAUGCCACAGCCAAGGGAAUAUAAACUAGGGUAGAACUCCCCCCCCCCCCCCUCUCCAAACACUUACAUUGCUUCUAUUUAGCUUUAUCAUCCACAGACUUGCUGAGUUUUUCCACCAUCUCUAAAUAUUCAUGUUGAUCUUUAUUAGUACUGCCUAAUGUCACAAACCACUCAAAUUUGCCACCAAUGAAGGUUAAAUUUGUGCGCACAAGUACACUCAGUAAAAGUCCAUCUAGAAGUGGAGUGCAUUUAGUAACAUAGUGUGCUCAACACUAAAGGAAGGAUGCAUUUAGAAAUGAGAUAUGCUCAACAUUGGGUCGCCUCACAUAACUAACCAAUCGUGGUAGCUUAGCGAUCAACCAAGCCAAGCCCGAAUUUUAGACUUUUCUACAAUUGUAAAUAACUUAAAAGUUUCUACAUUUUUGCAUUUAAUUCCUAGCUAGAUAUUUAGGCAACUUGCAUUCACUUGAUAGGAAGCUUCAUGAGCUAGCACCAAUACUAUAAAUAGAGGCGAGCACCCCUCGUUUACUCACCACACCAAGCACAUUUCAUUACACAUACACAACACACACAAGCUCUCAAGCUCUCUUGUAUUUUCUCAUUUGUGAGUAAUAAAAUUAUAUUUGGCCAUAUUGCUCUCUCUUCUCUCUAGCAUUGUCACAAGCAGCCUUGCU